GUCGAGCGGNNGAGAGGAGCUUGCUCCUGGAUUCAGCGGCGGACGGGUGAGUAAUGCCUAGGAAUCUGCCUGGUAGUGGGGGACAACGUUUCGAAAGGAACGCUAAUACCGCAUACGUCCUACGGGAGAAAGCAGGGGACCUUCGGGCCUUGCGCUAUCAGAUGAGCCUAGGUCGGAUUAGCUAGUUGGUGAGGUAAUGGCUCACCAAGGCGACGAUCCGUAACUGGUCUGAGAGGAUGAUCAGUCACACUGGAACUGAGACACGGUCCAGACUCCUACGGGAGGCAGCAGUGGGGAAUAUUGGACAAUGGGCGAAAGCCUGAUCCAGCCAUGCCGCGUGUGUGAAGAAGGUCUUCGGAUUGUAAAGCACUUUAAGUUGGGAGGAAGGGCAUUAACCUAAUACGUUAGUGUUUUGACGUUACCGACAGAAUAAGCACCGGCUAACUCUGUGCCAGCAGCCGCGGUAAUACAGAGGGUGCAAGCGUUAAUCGGAAUUACUGGGCGUAAAGCGCGCGUAGGUGGUUUGUUAAGUUGGAUGUGAAAUCCCCGGGCUCAACCUGGGAACUGCAUUCAAAACUGACAAGCUAGAGUAUGGUAGAGGGUGGUGGAAUUUCCUGUGUAGCGGUGAAAUGCGUAGAUAUAGGAAGGAACACCAGUGGCGAAGGCGACCACCUGGACUGAUACUGACACUGAGGUGCGAAAGCGUGGGGAGCAAACAGGAUUAGAUACNCCUGGUAGUCCACGCCGUAAACGAUGUCAACUAGCCGUUGGGAGNCUUGAGCUCUUAGUGGCGCAGCUAACGCAU
Molecule: ribosomal RNA, 805 nt
Filed under: bacterium EA10-21
Lineage: Bacteria
Description: bacterial SSU rRNA
Rfam family: Bacterial small subunit ribosomal RNA
Source: RNAcentral